RNAcentral lists this small nuclear RNA (23 nucleotides) under Arabidopsis thaliana (thale cress). RNAcentral's name for it is "snRNA_06925". The record is from RNAcentral. Lineage: Eukaryota; Viridiplantae; Streptophyta; Magnoliopsida; Brassicales; Brassicaceae.
ACGGCUCAGCCGGAGGUAGGGUC